GGAGCAGCAGAGAUACGUCGACGAGCUCGGCCGAAAAGCGACAACGCUCAGCCGUUCGAUCCAAGAUCUACGGCUCAGAUUGCCUCCGCCGGAUAUCUCUCAGCGUCUACCUCACCUCCUCGCUCACUCCCUCGCUUCCAACGCCGCUCUCGCUCUCCAGCUCGAUUCGCAUUCCGCUACUCGUGAACAGGUGCUUCCCUCGAUCUCUGCUAAUGAAUUGAAUAUGCCUUUGUGGUAAUCGAUCCUCUUUUGAUUUUUCGAUUAGGCUCAAGUGAGAGAGCAGACAUUGCUAGAAGAAAACAGUGCGUAUGAGAAUGCAAUAUCGAUCUGUGAGGCGAGGAUAGAGGAGAAAACGCAUGAAGCAGAUUCACUUCUUAGAAAAUUGAAGGUGUGUAAAGCUGAACCAGAUGAUUAGAUCUUUGUUUAGAUUAUGAAUCUUGGAUCUGCUUGGUUUUUAGGAGCUAGAAGAUGUUGAGAAGAGCUUGAAAGCUGAGCAAGAAGAUGCACAAGCUUGAGAGAGCUGUGGCGAAGAAUGGGGAGACGCUGACUCAGCUUAAGGCGCUUGUUGAUGAGCAAGAGAAGGAUGUGGAGAGGGUUAAGCAGAGGGAGUUGCUUUUGACGAAGGUUGAUUCGAUGAAGAAGAAGCUGCCGUGGCUGAGGUAUGAUAAGAAGAAGUCGGAGUACCAGGCUGUUAAGAGACGAAGACGAAGAAGAAGUUGAAGGAAGCCGAGAAGAAAUUGGAUGAGGCUGCGAGGAAUUUGAGCGUUGUGAAGGAGCGUGUUGAGAAGCAGAAGAAGGAGAGGGGAAAGAUGGAGUCGAAAUGCAAAAAGGUUAAUAAAGUUCUGGUGACUAAUGGGUAUAAGCGUUCGGAUUUGCUCGAGAAAGAAAAUGAGGCGGAAGCACGUGUAGUGGCAACGUACAAAGAGCUUGAGGAGCUGAAGAAACAAGAAGAGCAUCGCCAAGAGAGGAUUCUGAAAGCUACUGAGGAUCUGGCUGCUGCGGAGCAAGAUCUCAAAGACCUGCCUGUAUAUGAACAACCUGUAGCCAAACUUGAAGUCUCAGGUUACAGAGCUGCAUCACAACAUUAACCGGAAGAAGAAUCAGAAGGCGGAGAAUGAGACCCUCUUGUCUCAGAAAAGACACACCCUGCGGCAAUGUGUAGAUAAGCUGAAGGAGAUCGAGAACGCAAAUAACAAACUCUUGAAUGCGCUGCUUCGCUCUGGAGCUGACAGGAUUUAUGGGUGCAGCAGAAUCGUCAUGAGUUUAAAAGGGAAGUAUAUGGUCCCGUUUUGCUAGAGGUUAACGUCCCAAACCGGGAGAACGCUUGCUAUUUGGAGGGUCGUAUUUCUUAUUACAUCUGGAAGUCUUUUAUCACUCAGGAUCCCGAGGACAGAGAUUUGUUGGUUAGGAAUCUAAAACGCUUUGAUGUUCCUGUUCUAAACUAUGUGAGAGAUAGCGGCAACCACUCAGCUCCCUUUCAUAUCUCUGAUCAUAUGCGUUCUCUUGGCCUUCAUUCUCGCCUUGAUCGGAUAUUUGAUGCUCCUGGCGCUGUUAAGGAGGUUUUAACUUCCCAGUUUGGUCUGGAUGACUCGUACAUUGGAUCGAAGAUAACUGAUCAGAGAGCUGAAGAAGUAUCCAAAUUAGGUGUCACUGAUUUUUGGACACCGGACAAUCACUACCGGUGGUCUUCCUCAAGGUAUGGUGGACAUUCCUCUGAGAUCAAGAAAGGAGGAACUAGAAGACUCUAUAUCAUCCAUUGAAGAAACUCGCAAGAGUCUUCAAACAGAGCAAAGACUGUUGGAAGAAGAAGAAGCUAAACUCCAUAAAGAGAGGGAGGAGAUUAUCAACAUCUCGCAUAUGGAGAAGAAAAAACGCCGCGAGUUGGAAUCUCGUUACCAGCAAAGGAAGAAGAAGCUUGAAUCCUUGGAGCAAGAAGAGGACAUGGAUGCUUCAGUUGCUAAGCUGAUCGAGCAGGCUUCCAAAGCUAACGCUGACCGCUAUGCAUACGCGGUCAGUCUCAAGAAGCUGCUCGUGGAAGCUGCUGCUAAUAAGUGGAGUUACGCCGAGAAGCAUAUGGCUUUGAUUAAACUGGAAAGAAAGAUCAGAGAGUCAGAGAUCAACAUCAAACAGUACGAGAAGACGGCGCAGCAGGCAUCCCUCAGCGUUGAGUAUUGCAAGAAAGAGGUUUAAGAAAAGCAACUGCAGCUAGCAGCUGCUAAGAGGGAUGCAGAAUCUAUCGCAAUCAUCACGCCACAGCUUAAAAAGGAGUUUAUGGAGAUGCCAACCACGAUAGAAGAGCUGGAAGCUGCUAUACAAGACAAUUUCACUAAGCCAACUCGAUCCUCUUUGUAAACCAGAAGGUCCAGAACAUACUCCAAGAGUAUGAGCAUCGCCAGAGCCAGAUAGAAACUAUUACCACAAAGCUCGAGGCUGAUAAAAGAGACUUGAGCAGAUGCUUGAAAGAAAUCGAAUCUCUGAAGGAGAAAUGGCUUCCAACGUUGAGAAGGCUUGUUGCUCAGAUAAACGAAACUUUCAGCCAUAACUUCCAAGAAAUGGCUGUUGCAGGAGAAGUUUCGCUGGAUGAGCGUGACACUGACUUUGAUCAAUACGGGAUACAUAUCAAAGUGAAGUUCAGGGAAUCUGGGCAGCUUCAGGUUCUAAGUUCUCACCACCAGUCUGGAGGAGAGCGUUCUGUGUCAACCAUCCUCUACCUCGUCUCUCUUCAAGAUCUCACAAACUGUCCUUUCAGAGUUGUUGAUGCGAUUAAUCAAGGUAAAAAGUGUGAAGCUUUAUAAAAGAAACUGUCUGCUAAAAGUUUCUAAAAAUCUGCAAUUGGCUUCUGCAGGUAUGGAUCCUAUAAACGAAAGGAAGAUGUUUCAACAACUGGUUAGAGCUGCUAGCCAACCAAACACACCGCAGUAAGUUUUCCUUGGAAAUUGCUCUGAGAAUCUGUUGUCUUGUGCUUUGCAUUAUAUGUCUCGUUUAUGGAAUUUGUGUUGAAAAGUAAGAAACAAUGUGUUUCUCGUGUAGGUGUUUCUUACUGACGCCAAAGCUGUUGCCUGAGCUUGAGUACAGUGAAGCGUGUAGCAUACUGAACAUCAUGAACGGUCCUUGGAUCGAGCAGCCUUCGCAAGUUUGGAGCUUUGGUGAUAGUUGGGGAAAUCUUAUGAGGCGAACCGAAGCGAGUUAAUGCAUCUUGACUUCACCAAAACAGUAUCAUCUUUUCUAUUUUGAGUUUUUUUUUUGGAAAACCUUGCAUCUAAUGUUUUAUGCUAUUUAACCAACCGGUUCAAUCAGAUUGAACCAUAACCGGUUUAAAUAUGUUACUCGUUGCUUGGUUUACAGUCUUAGUCAAGGUCAGUGAAACCGAUAUUAUGUCCUACGACUAUUUUUCUCUUUUGUGACAAUGCCGUGGGGACAUCACUGACAUGAGCUCACGUUCUCCUCACCUUGUCUGUUUCUUGUGAGUAACGUCUCGUCUCAAACACAAGACGUUUCAUCUCGAAUAGUAAGACGUGUCGCCAUAUGAUUGGCUUAUUUAUUUCACUUUUCCAGCAAUUUAAAAUGGUUUAAAAAUCCUUUAAAUUUCUUGUUUGACUUUAGAUAAUUACUUAAAUACCGCUGUUAAUUAUUUUUGUGGUCAGGAAUCGCCGUAGAUUUGUUUUAGAAGAAGCUUUUAAAAUCAUAAAACUUAUUAAUUUCUUGACAAUAAUAGCUGAUUUUUUUUUAAAAAGGAUUUGUUGCUCUUUAUAGUUGCGUGGUCAAGAAUGAGUUAUUCUUGGGUUCACCCCCUAGGGUGAACCUUUAGGUUCACCAACCAAUAUAAAAUUGUCAUUUUAAAUCUAGUAUCUUUUAAUUAAGGAAACCAAAUAACUUGGCAAAUUAUAUUAUUUUUUCAAAAUAAAAUUUAAAAAUAAAUAAAAAUAAUAUAUAAAAAACGAAUUCAAAAAAAAAAUAAUGUUGUCAACAAAACACUAAACCCUAAACUCUAAUACUAAACCCUAAACUCAAAUCCUAAACCCUAAAUCCUUGGGUAAACCCUNNNNNNNNNNNNNNNNNNNNNNNNNNNNNNNNNNNNNNNNNNNNNNNNNNNNNNNNNNNNNNNNNNNNNNNNNNNNNNNNNNNNNNNNNNNNNNNNNNNNNNNNNNNNNNNNNNNNNNNNNNNNNNNNNNNNNNNNNNNNNNNNNNNNNNNNNNNNNNNNNNNNNNNNNNNNNNNNNNNNNNNNNNNNNNNNNNNNNNNNNNNNNNNNNNNNNNNNNNNNNNNNNNNNNNNNNNNNNNNNNNNNNNNNNNNNNNNNNNNNNNNNNNNNNNNNNNNNNNNNNNNNNNNNNNNNNNNNNNNNNNNNNNNNNNNNNNNNNNNNNNNNNNNNNNNNNNNNNNNNNNNNNNNNNNNNNNNNNNNNNNNNNNNNNNNNNNNNNNNNNNNNNNNNNNNNNNNNNNNNNNNNNNNNNNNNNNAAAAAAAAAAAAAAAAAAAAUCUUUGAUAUGAGUUCACUAAUCCAUCUCAACCGCAUAGUGAUAGAUGUAAGGUCCAGAGAAAUAAGAUACAGUUUGAUCAUGUAACCAUCGUAAGAGCUUACCAAGUAGCUAUAGCCUAUAUGAUAAAAAGAAACAAAAGAGUGAAAAAACUAAUACUAACGUUCAUAUCAGACCGGUGACUUGUCAUUAUCCUCCUCCUCGGGGAACAUUCCUUUCAAGAGAAAGGUAUUGAGAAGCAGCAAGGCAGCUAAGAGACCAUAAGCAGUCCAAACAGGUAACUGGUAACUUAAAUACCCAACCAAACACAACAUCAAAUACGCGUGGACAACAUGUUGUAUAUAGACAGAUUUUAAAGGCGUAGAGAGUUGAAAGACGGCCAAAUAUCCAGCGAAAAUCAUAAAAUUGCAGAUACAAAAUUCUAUCAUGCGAAAGUAGGAGCAUGUGGAGCACAUCAUGAUCAUCAUAACCCCGACGGCGUAAGGAAAAUAAUGUCUUGUAGCUCCCGAGUUGUGAUGAGUUGGUUUAGGUCUAGGUGUUGGAACAGGAACAUAAAACGAGCUCACCACCUUAAACGCAAUAUAAGAGAACGGUGGUACUGAGCAUAUCCCUAAGGCGCUUGAUUCGUCUUUCAAAGUACUGGACCACGAAGAAGUAGCCAGGAGUGCGACAAUUAACCUAGUUAACCAACCCACGCAUACUAACGUGCCUAUUCCUCGAUAUAACCAUCUCGUUUUUGAGCAGUUCACUCCUUUGAUUAUUAUCGUUUCACAACUCAUGUUCGAUGGCUAGAAUUGUGAUGAUGAUAAAGGAAGUUUGGCCCCUCUCUAAUCCUUUUAUAAAGACUUUCAUCCGAGGAAGUCUAUUAGGACUAGGAAACAUUUACCCUAAAUCAACUAUGAAAACAUGUUUGAUUAUGUUGCCAAGGAGUGAGAGUACUUAAUAUGGGCCCGUCUCUGAUUCUUUGUUUUCUUAAUGGGCUUUAACGAGCUUCAUCUUUAAUAGUAGGCCCAAUAAAAGCUGAAAUCUGUUGAUGGCGGGGGUGGAGGUCAAACUAUCUCUCACUUGCAAAGUCACAAUCAAUCUGGGUGGUUUUUGGAUACAUUGAUCACUAGCAUGUGCUUUUCGUAUAUCUUUACAUCUUGUUGGAUUAUUUGUUUUGUUGGAUAACUUGUCUUAGGAACCUAUAAGCCUAGAUAUUAAAUAUAAUUAGAUCGUUGCUAAUAACAUUUACGAGCAAAAGCGAAAUCUAUUCAUCGGAAUGUUUAUCGAAUGGUAGGUACAUAAAGACUUGAGCAGCUUAAUCAUGGAAGAACCUCAGAUAAGCUUAGCUAUACGGCCCAUUCCAGAUGGCAAAAGGGCAUCCUUAGUUGCAAUGUCACUUCUUCUUUUUGAUGUCACUUGUCUUUCGUUAAUUAGCAUAUACCUUGGAAAGGUGAGCAAGUACAGCUCUUUAUUCUAAAAGAUAAGAGCAAGAUUCAUCAUUUGUGUUUAUGCGGAUGGCCCACUCGUAUAUAUAUAUAUAUGUAUAUUAUUAUAUACUAUAUACUAAAUAGCUUAUGGGAAUGCAUAUGCGAUGCUUCAGCCACUUCCAAUGCCAAUUGAGAAGGAGAAUAUAUAUUGCUGCAAAAGUGACUUGAGAAGGAGAAUAUAUUGCUGCAAAAGCUUAUGGGAAUGCAUAUACUAACUCUUAUAUUCUUUCCAUUCUUUCUUAAGCAAUAUAGACAUGCAGUUUAAAAGCCUCAACUUCCAUAUUCCCUUCACGCUAAUUUGUGACUUUUACUUUUUCACGUCAAUAUUUUUUUGUAAAGUCAUUAUAAGUUUAAAAGUGUUGGCAGUCAAAGUCCUAAACAAUCUUCACCUUCCCGCCGUCAGAAGUUUUUGGCGAUAAUCCCGAGCUAGCUAGGGUUUGGUUUCUGAGCUAUUUUUAUAAGUGUUAGGGACGUUGGAACUUUAUAUCAAAGCUUAAAGCGUGGUUUUGUUUGGUUGGUGAUUUCGUUUUGGUUAUGGUUUUGUGAGCGAGCAGGUCAGAAGACAUGGAAGAGAAGAAGAAUGCAGACGAUAGAAUCAUCAACGACAAUAUAUUGAUACCUCCUGCUCCCCCAGUACUAGGCCUUGGGCGUGGUGCUCCUCUUUUGAAACCCACUCCACGACGCCGUGUCAAUGGCAACGUACUGUCUCAGCACCCUACCACUACCACUGCAGAGAUCGAUGAGACCAGGGUCAAGUUUCUGAGGCUUUCACACAGAUUAGGGCAAACUCCACGUAACAACGUUGUUGUUGCUCAGUUUUUGUCUAGGGGAAGUAGCCGUGUUGGUGGUGCCGCCAUUUCCAUGGCGGAACAGCUUGAGAGACAGGAUCAUCCGCUUGAUUUUUCUUGUACGAUUAUGUUGCUCGGUAAAACCGGUGUUGGCAAGAGUGCUACGAUUAAUUCUAUUUUCGAUGAUGAUCAUGAAGUGAAGAAGAUGUGUACCACCGAUGCGUUCCAGAUGGGGACGAAGAGGGUUCAGCUUGUUGAGGGUUUUGUUCAGGGAAUCAAAGUCCGGGUGAUCGACACUCCAGGCCUCUCACCAUCAUGGUUUGAUCAACACAAAGAACGUGAAAACCCUCAAGUCUAUUAGGGCUUUCAUCAAAAAAAAAGUCCACCGGAUGUUGUUUUAUAUCUCGAUAGGUUGGAUACGCAAACGCAAAGCAUAGAUGACGACAUGCUUCUUUUGCGCACCAUUACCCAUGUUCUUGGACCGUCGAUAUGGUCUAACGCCAUCGUGGGUUUGACUCACGCCGCUUCCGCUCCACCAGAUGGCGCUGCCUCUAGCUACGACAUGUUUGUAACACGACGUUGUCUUGCCAUUCAGCUGGACAUUCGCCAAGCAGCUCGAGAUUUGCGGCUCGUGAACCCUGUGUCUUUAGUUGAGAACCACCCUGCUUGCAGGACCAACCGGGCGGGUCAUAGAGUGUUACCGAAUGGUCAAGCGUGGAAGCCUCAUUUGCUGUUACUCUAGUUUGCAUCCAAGAUUCUAGCACAAGAAAAUGCAUAUGAUCGUAAUUAUAAUAGUCGACCAUUAGUUGUGGAAUCCACGGCUCAACCACUGUCACUUUUUCUCUCAUCUCUUCUGGAAUCACAUCAGCUUCCUCCUCCUUUUAAGCGAUUGACUGAAGCUGAAAUUUCUAGGCUUAGUAUCAGAAGGAGCAGUAUCGUGUUGAGUUUGAGCACCAGGCGGAACUAGAGAUGGAAGAGGAAAACGAGAGACGUCGACCUCAUAUUACUCUUCCACCUACCAUGCCAGUACCUAUACUGAUAUGGUAUGACACUAACAAUCAUCCUGUUCGCACCCAUCCACCUAUUGAACUCUCCAACCCGUUGCUACGUGUUAAUCCAGUCCUGGUUGUUCCGGGGUGGGAUCAUGAUAUUGGCUAUGAUGGUCUAAGUGCUAAAGGGACUUUGGUUAAAGAAAAGAUACAUAUGUCUUACUCGGGCAAAGUGACAGAGAACAACCUCAUGAAAAUGAAAGGUGCAGACGUGCAGCUGGAAAUGGCCAGCUUGGUUGUACAUGGAGAGGAGGGUAAUAGAUCAACCUCCCUAGGUUUCGAGAUGCAAAAAAAAGACUUGGGAUGAAUUGUCUUGCACUCUUCGAAGUGAUUCCAAUUUUAUGAAACACAAUGCUGCGGCUGGUCUAGCUACAACGCUCUUGGGUGAUUCGGUGUCUGCGGGGGUGAAAGCAGAACGUAAGUUGGUUGCUAAUAAAAGGUUCGGAAUGGAUGUGUGUGGUGGUGGGGCAAUGACUUGUCGAGGUGAUGCGGCUUAUGGGGGUAGUUUAGAAGCUCACUUGCUUGGUAGUUUUUUUUUAUCUACUCUGGGACUUUCUGUGGUGGAUGGGCAUGGGAGUCUUGCUAUCGGAGGGAAUAUUCAGACCCAAGUGCACAUAGGACGUUCAUCUGAUCUAACUGCUCGUGCUAAUCUGAACAGCAGAGGGGCAGUGCAAGUAAGCAUCCGGGCAAACAUCUUUGAACUGCUCGAACAUGCUAUGGCCGUACUUGUUCCUCUAUUUAAGAAGCUACUUAGUUAUUAUUCCCCUAAUUAGCACCUAGUUGUUUUUGUUCAUGUCUUAUCUCUGGAUUUUGCAUUAAGCCUUGAUAAAAAUUUAUGUUGCAGUUUACUUAUUGACGUUAAAGACACCCAUCACCGUUGUUGGAAGAUAUUGAUAUCACUAUUUACUGUUUGUCAAUAUCUCAAUUUUUUUGAUAACAAGAUUAUUACUGAAAGAGACAUGACUAUUAUUGUUCACACACACAGUAAUUUACUGUUUACUGUUUAUCACACACACACAGUAAGACACAACUAUUCAAUCUAAAGUCACGACUCUCACACACACCUUUUAGUACAACAGUACAACUUAAUAACUAAAUAACAUACAACCAAAAGCUCAAUUACAAACUAACAACCCUCUGGGUAAGCCAUAUAAAUACAAAGCGGUGUCUCUUAACUUACUCCUUUUUUUUUGCACUCUUCCGCACUUUUCCGUGUUCCGUUUAUAUAAUUAGUGACCGAUUGUUAAGGAUUUUGCUGUAUGUAGUUGAUAAUAUCCAUUGGGUUUGUCAAUGAUGGUCUUUAUGAUUUAGUCACCACUGUUAAGCUGAUGAAUUCUCUCAAAAGAUACGUUGAGUGUUAUAAAAUCCAUAUGAAUCUAGCCACCAGAGUGGCAUAAUACAUAUUCUUCUUGAGACACAUAAAAUGGAUCUCACUCAUUCACCGAAGCCAGAAGUGUGACAAAGUUAUCAGACCACCAGAAAAUGUAGUCUUGUGUAGCACAAACUUAUAUACCAUGCAAGCAAAUCAAAGAUAUCUCCGGAUGCAUAUAAUACUGGCAUAUCAUCAACAAAGAACUUGAAGGUAGUUGAGUUUCUACGAUCUAACCACAAAAUUUAACAAGUUUAAGAACUAGCGAAUAUCUAAGUGCCAAAUGAAUGUGAAUAUUAUUGUGAUGGAUUCGAGAUAUCAAGUGAAAGUGGAUAAAAGUGAUUGCCUUUUGCCAAAAUUCACUGCACUUUUGCACUUUUUCCUUAGACAAUUUCUCAGAGCCAUGUAAAGUGGAGAAUCCGCACAAAACUUAAAAUACAAAGCUUUAUAUGGUCCCUGAACUCUUGUUCUCUUCUCUUUUUCUCAAGAAAACAAGCACUUAUCCUUAAAUCUCAAAAAAAAUAAAGUAUUAGCAACCAUAUAAAUUGAUAAAUGAUAAAAACACAUAACCGAUAUAAUGUUCAUCUCUCUAUCUCUGAAAUUGAGUCAUAAUUUUUUAAAAAAUUGCAAAUUACAUACAAGGCCUCCAAAACAUGUGAGAGAAGUUUCAAAACCACAGUAGACAAAAGAUAUAUAAUAAGCAAACCACUUCUUUCUUGAACCGCAGGUGAAAAAAGGCUAACCACAUAUCACUCUUCAUGAGCUAGAACCACGUUAAAAUCUCCACUAUUUUCCAUUAUUAAAGCGGUAAAAGCAUAGAUGCCUCAGAUUUAUUUACUUACUUAAUUAUACGGUAUAGAUAUCAAACUUUAGCAGAUAAUUUAAGGAACCUAGAGAGUCUUUUCUUUUAGAUAUCAAUGAUAAUGAAACCAUUCCAUAACAUUUCUCCAUGCCAUUACAUUCCUCAUAAAAACAGUAAAUAACAAGAAGUCAAAGUGUAUCAUAGUUCAAACUCUUCCCUUAUUUGAAAGAGUAUGUUAUUUGAAAGUGUAACAAGAAGUCAAAGUGAAUCAAUACGAGACCACUAGCCGGAUACGAAACAAUAUCAAGACCUAGACCCUAGACAAUAGGGAACCAAACUGAAUUAUUGCAAGAGUCACAAAAGCAGUAGGGAUCAAACUACUCGGGAACUCCAUUCGUCUGAAAAAAUUGGAUAUCCUAGAGGAGAAGGGCACAUGAUCUAGAUGUUGAAGUCCAUAUGUCCUCAUCAUGUCCGGAACAGAAUCCAAACGUCCAAGUGGGACCAAAUCUUCAACAAAAGGAGAUAUCACACAAAUAUCUCUAUGAACGCAGUGAACUACAUCUGUCUCUGGGUAAUAUUUGAACAACCUCUUGCAGUUGUCAUGGAAAAAAAGAUUUCCUUGCUUAGAAACCGCCACUGGCCUAGCCCAAAACCAUAAAGGGAAAACGCCGUCGUAACGGUGCUCGGAAGGGAAUAAACGUAUGGUAUAAAUCACGCUCCAUGCUUCAUCUUGUGGUACAUGCAAGCACCAUAUCUUCACAUUCCAAUGAUGAUUACUAAAAUAGGUUGCGGCUAAGGCCAGCCGGUUUUCAAGGUUUGCUACUUGGCAUGAAGUUCCUAGUGUUCCCUGCGGUAGUGUAAGGUCACGCCACUCUUCUGUGUGAAGAUUCAAAGCUAAAAGUUUGUGCCGAGGAAUUACUUCUACCCAGUAGAUGGACCCAUUCACACAUGUCGACUUCCAUCUAAACCCUAACACAUAAGGAGGUGGACUCAGUCUCCUCCAUCUCCCAAUGUUAACAUCAAGAAUCUCGCUACGACGAAUCUCCAAAUCAUCGUUAAAACAUAUCCUCACCAUCUUAUAUCUCUCAGUGAUAUUGUCUUUACCGAAUCCCAUCCUCCAACAUCUAGGGAAGAUAAGCUCGUUCUCGUCGACCUCGCCGGCUGCAGCCUUGCUGGUAGGUCCCAGCUUCCCCAUCCUUGCAGUCUACUACUCAUCUUUCUCUCCCUAUCAAUUUCUCUGCCAUGGCCUCUCCGAGCUCCACCUUGCCGUCUCCGUCGAGUAACAGUGGCAAGCUUCAAGAUCAUCUUCUUCUGACCUUAGGAGCUUCAUCAGCAAAGUCUAAUGGUGCUAUGGGCUCUGAAUCCUUGCUCCACCAAGAGGCCAACUCUGCUACUCUGGCCUCUGUCUCUCCUCCUUUGUCUCUGUCUCCAUCUGUUGAAGCCAGCGGUACACAUGUUUCUCUGCCAGUUCUCAACGCACAAGCAGCUCCACUGGUUUACAAGUGUGAUUCACAAGUACCCCAUCAUGUGCCUGCUCCUCCACUGAUUGCUACCCAAGCUUCUCUUUCUCAGUUUGUGCCUUCUUUGGGUUCAUGGGCUAAACCACUCAUCUUCAAGCCCCCCGUUACUCCUCCUGACCCAAGUACUCUAAGAGGUUACGACCUUGCGCUUGUGGGAAAUCAACUUGCUGCUCUUUGGCCAACUCUUAAUGAUGAAAUCUUGAACAAGCAACACAAGAGCAAGCAUCCUACUCGCUCCCUGCAGAUUCCGAUAGAGAAAAUGCCACCUCCGGAGCUUAAAGCUGAUGGCACUCUCCGCUUCCCAUGGGCUGCAAGAUUGGGUCCCCAAUCACGCAAUCUGUAUCGGGCAGCUUCACCUACCUACCGAUUCGAUGGUACACCUGAGGUAUCAAUCCCUUCUAAAGUCCUUAGAUUAGGACCCGAGAAUAAGGAUGAAUAUGUUAUUGGAAAAUUUUAUAAAUGUUCUUUACCUCCGGGUGGCCUAGUUCAUGCUGUAGUCAAUAGACUUUGGGGAAGAAGCUGUAAGAUUUCUUGUAAGAAGCUUAAUGAUUCAUCGUAUAUGUUUCAUAUCCCAUAUCAACCUACUCGUCAAUGGAUUAUUCAAAGAGGAGUAUGCCAUAUUGACAAUUGCUUGCUUUUUGUGUUGCCGUACACUCCAGAGGGUUCAUUUAAAAUUCCAUAAGUUUCAACUCUUCCGGUAUGGGUGACUUUGAAGGACAUUCCCGACUGCUGCUACUCUAGAUUGGGUAUUAGUCAUGUUGCCUCUGGUCUCGGUGAGCCCAUCUUAACACAUAAACCUCGUCUAGAUCCUACCAACAUGGGUGAAGCCAAAGUAUUGGUGGAAAUGGAAUUGGAUAAGGACUUUCCAAAGCUUAUAGCUCUUGAUGAUAAACAAGGCAAUAUUUUUCUGGUUAAGGUUGACUAUACUUGGAUCCCUACUACUUGUGAGAGGUAUGGGUGUUUAGGCCACAAAGAGAAGAGGUGCCUUCAGCAUCCCAAAGUUCCAGAGAAUUCUACCUUGCCGUCAAAUUCAGUGGCUAUUAGUGCGGAUGUACCUGUUGUGGAUAUUGACAUCAUUAUUCAUCAAAAUGAGAAUGAUGCCCCAUCCACUUCAACAUUUCAACAAAAAUAGCUCACUGACCAAGAAACCACCACUUCUAAAGUUGCUCCAAGCUCAGGUUCGGAUUUUGUUACUGAUCAUGAACCACUGUUUGUUUCCUCAGAUGUUUCUACAGAAAGCCAAGUUGCACCUGCUGCAUCGCCAAGCUUGAUCACUUCUACAGCCAUCUUAGCAGAUGUUCUAUCUGCUCAUGCUGCCACUACAACACCCAUUAUGGAAACUGUUCCAUCAAACAAUAUCAGCAAGGAGGUCCAAAAAACCUCUGUUGUUGACCCUGUAACCACAACACCUAACGCUAAUGUAUUCGAGAGUCCUUCUUGUUUCUCUGUGCUAGGUGACGUGGAUGAAGCUGAGUUAGAGUCAAUGGGCUCUCUCAGCUUGACAAGAGGUGGGAGAGAGACAAAACCUCCUAUCAAAUACCAAGACUUGGAAUGGAAGACAAUACAAUGGAAAGGAAAACAUGGUCCGCGUGGCCGAGGAUCCAAACGCUAGCUACUGUCUUUUAUUUCAUAGUUGGUUUUGCUAAUUUCUACCUAAGUAGUUUCAUAGGUAUGAGAUUUUAACUAUCAUAAUGUGCUCAUGUAAGCUUUAUCUCGCUAUAGGGUUUUAUCACUCUAUCCUGUAAACGUUUUAUGCUAUUUAAAUUUGAAAGCCUUUAGUCAAAAAAAAAAACAUCUAGGGAAAAUCUCAAAUCGAGGAUCUAAGAAAUCACGCGAUAUCAUUGUCUCUGGACCGGAAGAGAAUCUAAGAAACACUCCAGUGGAAGGGUUGAAAACUUUGACCCAACCAGGUACGGGGAUGCAGACAAGACUGCACAUGACAGCGACGACCGUGAGGCGGCGACAUUGCUGUGUAAGACAUUGCUGUGUAAGUAGACCAUCUCUAUCUCUUCGUCCAUGUGUAAUUCAUGUUGGAUUAGGUUUCGGUCUACUGCCACUAUGAUUCUCAGUUUCUUUUGAAUAUUCACCAUACGCCUACCCUCGCGAACCUCUUCGACUCCAGUAUUGAUCUCCAUUAUUUUGAGACGAUUUUGAAUUUUAGGAUGGAUUUCAAUGGCAGACCAAGGAAGAUCUCUUCUAGUACCUCGGGAACUAGGUACAUGGGACUAGGGUUUAUGUUGGAAUUUGUGAUAAAAACAAAAGUACUGAAUUUGCUCUAAGAAUACGAACAGUCAGAAAGAGUCUGAAUAAAUAGUUAUUGGAUCUAAAGAGCUUACAUAUAUGUCUAGUAAAUCUUUAAACUUUAAAAAAUAGAAUGUCAAUUAAUGGAAUGAUAGAAGUUAUGGAAUAAAAUUAAUGGAAUGAAAUCAUUGCAGAGAAAUAUUUUUGUAGCAAAAUUGGUAACCUUUCAGAGGAAUUAAAUGGAAUGAAAUUUAUUUUUAAUUUAAAUUAUUAAGAAUAUGUUAAACUAUACCAAUAAAACUGUUCAAGUGUUUUCUCAAGAGCGAUUAGUUUGAUAUGGACGUCGUAAUUAUAAGCCCAAUGUGUUAAAGGCCCAGUGGAAAGCGGAAACAUGAGUUUCGUGUAAAUAACUAAAUACGCAAAGCCUUGGAAAAGAGUGAUAGGGGAAACCGAAAGUUCAACAGUCAAAAUCGAACCAGACCGGUUUAGUCACCAACCGCUUCGGUUUAGCUCUGAGAGUCCGGUCCGUGUCUAUGUCAGAUCAAAGAGACGAAGACGAAGACGAAGAAGAAGAAGAAGAUACAUGGCGGGACUUCUAGCUUGGGCUGCUGACGUCGUCGGUAAAAACGGAAAAGACGGAUGCGACGAGGAGGAGGAUCAGAUCCCACUGGUUCUCACGGAGGAGCAGCAGAGAUACGUCGACGAGCUCGGCCGAAAAGCGACAACGCUCAGCCGUUCGAUCCAAGAUCUACGGCUCAGAUUGCCUCCGCCGGAUAUCUCCCAGCGUCUACCUCACCUCCUCGCUCACUCCCUCGCCUCCAACGCCGCUCUCGCUCUCCAGCUCGAUUCGCAUUCCGCUACUCGUGAACAGGUGCUUCCCUCGAUCUCUGCUAAUGAAUUGGAUAUGCC
RNAcentral lists this long non-coding RNA (14625 nucleotides) under Brassica napus (rape). RNAcentral's name for it is "long non-coding RNA (BNAP_LNC012725)". Lineage: Eukaryota; Viridiplantae; Streptophyta; Magnoliopsida; Brassicales; Brassicaceae. The record is from RNAcentral.